RNAcentral lists this ribosomal RNA (382 nucleotides) under uncultured bacterium. RNAcentral describes it as "bacterial SSU rRNA". It matches the Rfam family "Bacterial small subunit ribosomal RNA", at positions 30 to 412 of the family's 1533-position model. The record is from RNAcentral.
AUUGAACGCUGGCGGCAUGCCUUACACAUGCAAGUCGAACGGCAGCACGGGAGCAAUCCUGGUGGCGAGUGGCGAACGGGUGAGUAAUAUAUCGGAACGUGCCCAGUCGUGGGGAUAACGUAGCGAAAGCUACGCUAAUACCGCAUACGAUCUAUGGAUGAAAGCGGGGGAUCGCAAGACCUCGCGCGAUUGGAGCGGCCGAUAUCAGAUUAGGUAGUUGGUGGGGUAAAGGCUCACCAAGCCAACGAUCUGUAGCUGGUCUGAGAGGACGACCAGCCACACUGGGACUGAGACACGGCCCAGACUCCUACGGGAGGCAGCAGUGGGGAAUUUUUGGACAAUGGGCGCAAGCCUGAUCCAGCAAUNCCGCGUGCAGGAUGAA